GGGGUUGUGGCUCAGUGGCUAAGCACUUGCUUGGCAUGCCGAGGGUGCCAGGUUCCAUCCCUAGCAUCUCCU
RNAcentral lists this transfer RNA (72 nucleotides) under Sphaerodactylus townsendi. RNAcentral's name for it is "tRNA-Ala". Lineage: Eukaryota; Metazoa; Chordata; Lepidosauria; Squamata; Sphaerodactylidae. The record is from RNAcentral.